RNAcentral lists this ribosomal RNA (484 nucleotides) under uncultured bacterium. Its description in RNAcentral is "partial 16S ribosomal RNA". It matches the Rfam family "Bacterial small subunit ribosomal RNA", at positions 30 to 507 of the family's 1533-position model. The record is from RNAcentral.
AUUGAACGCUGGCGGCAGGCCUAACACAUGCAAGUCGAGCGGAUGAAGGGAGCUUGCUCCUGGAUUCAGCGGCGGACGGGUGAGUAAUGCCUAGGAAUCUGCCUGGUAGUGGGGGAUAACGUCCGGAAACGGGCGCUAAUACCGCAUACGUACUGUGGGAGAAAGUGGGGGAUCUUCGGACCUCACGCUAUCAGAUGAGCCUAGGUCGGAUUAGCUAGUUGGUGGGGUAAAGGCCUACCAAGGCGACGAUCCGUAACUGGUCUGAGAGGAUGAUCAGUCACACUGGAACUGAGACACGGUCCAGACUCCUACGGGAGGCAGCAGUGGGGAAUAUUGGACAAUGGGCGAAAGCCUGAUCCAGCCAUGCCGCGUGUGUGAAGAAGGUCUUCGGAUUGUAAAGCACUUUAAGUUGGGAGGAAGAGCAGUAAGUUAAUACCUUGCUGUUUUGACGUUACCAACAGAAUAAGCACCGGCUAACUUCGUG